GGGACUUCCGUUGUAUGUCAGUCUGAUGACACUACAUGGUGGAUAAAUAAUACAAUAAUACAACAACAAACAAUUAGUUUGUUAUCCGUUGCUCAAAGGUAGUCGGCUAAAGUGUCAGAUAUUCUCCACAUUGACACACAUUCAAAACCAGCUUCAUUUAACAUACUUUAAAAAAAUCCAUAUUUGAACAUCUGUCCAUUGAUGCAUCAUCAUCCACUUACCAAUGAUGUAUUAAGACUCAUCAUCCCUAAAACCAGCUCGAUAAAAGGAACAAUUAACUGGCUCAGCCAGAGUGAAUCAAUGACUCCCAAGUAUUUGACGAGGACUCAAAUUCACUGACUCCUUACUGUUUCCGUUCUGUUUGGUGACAAGUAAAUCAAGUAAUUAAUUAUCAAUUUAUGAGUGACUUAUUUAAAUUGGGGUGACAAAAAGAAUGUUGGCACAAAAGGAAACACAGGUCAUCAUCUCCAACCACUAUCUCACUCACGGAUUGAUCAACAAAAACGCAAGGCACGCUGGGAAGCGCACACUUCCUAGACAUUGGGGGAAAAAAAAAGCUAAAAUAACAAAAACAAGUCAACUUGGCGGCGAGUGACCUUUUUGUUAUGUUCAUUACUAGAUCCAACAAGUUAUUAAACUACAGUAUAUUAUCAAUAAAGUGUUGUCCGCCUGUCUUCUUCCAGUGAUGUGUCUGUAAAUCUAAUACC
Entelurus aequoreus (snake pipefish) is the source of this 707-nucleotide long non-coding RNA. RefSeq lists it as uncharacterized. The transcript is spliced from 3 exons. Lineage: Eukaryota; Metazoa; Chordata; Actinopteri; Syngnathiformes; Syngnathidae. The record is from RefSeq and is a predicted model, not a curated record.